Molecule: long non-coding RNA, 155 nt
Organism: Gekko japonicus
Lineage: Eukaryota; Metazoa; Chordata; Lepidosauria; Squamata; Gekkonidae
Exons: 2
Source: RefSeq, a predicted model, not a curated record
UCUCCCAAGCGAACGUUAUACGUCUUUACCAACGCUUCCAGGCCUUGGAUAAGGAUGAAAAAGGGUACCUCAGCAAGGACGAUCUCGAAGGUAUCGGAGAGCUAGCCGUGAACCCCAUCGGGGACCGGAUUAUCAAUGCUUUCUUCCAAGAUGGG